Molecule: ribosomal RNA, 500 nt
Filed under: uncultured bacterium
Lineage: Bacteria
Description: partial 16S ribosomal RNA
Rfam family: Bacterial small subunit ribosomal RNA
Source: RNAcentral
AUUGAACGCUGGCGGCAUGCCUUACACAUGCAAGUCGAACGGCAGCACGGGAGCAAUCCUGGUGGCGAGUGGCGAACGGGUGAGUAAAGUAUCGGAACGUGCCCAGUCGUGGGGGAUAACGUAGCGAAAGUUACGCUAAUACCGCAUACGCUCUAUGGAUGAAAGCGGGGGAUCGCAAGACCUCGCGCGUUUGGAGCGGCCGAUAUCGGAUUAGGUAGUUGGUGGGGUAAAGGCUCACCAAGCCGACGAUCUGUAGCUGGUCUGAGAGGACGACCAGCCACACUGGGACUGAGACACGGCCCAGGCUCCUACGGGAGGCAGCAGUGGGGAAUUUUGGACAAUGGGCGAAAGCCUGAUCCAGUCAUGCCGCGUGCAGGAUGAAGGCCUUCGGGUUGUAAACUGCUUUUGUACGGAACGAAAAGGUUUGGCCUAAUAAGCUGAGCUCAUGACGGUACCGUAAGAAUAAGCACCGGCUAACUACGUGCCAGCAGCCGCAGUAA